RNAcentral lists this long non-coding RNA (368 nucleotides) under Vigna radiata. RNAcentral describes it as "long non-coding RNA (VRAD_LNC007954)". Lineage: Eukaryota; Viridiplantae; Streptophyta; Magnoliopsida; Fabales; Fabaceae. The record is from RNAcentral.
GGGGAACAACUUGGUUUGCAUCGUUGAUGUGAAUCAACUUUUCUGCAUCGCGAAUUUGAAGAACCCAAGGGGGGUGAAUGAUGUUGUGGUGCUUGUUGUGGAGGAGGAUGGCGUGCAGAGGCUCGGGGAGUGAGUUCUGCGUGGACCACUGCAGAAGAUGGUGGUUUCACGCGAGGCUGUUAGCGAGGCGGAGCUGGGAGCAGCGACGGUGGAAAAGGUGCUGAAGCUGGUGGAGGCGGUGUCUCCGACGAGCGAGAGACGGUGAUGUUGAACAAGGUUCUGAAAGUGUGUGGCGAAAGAGAUUAGGUUUAAUUAUUUUAUAUUUUUGUCAGAAGUUAUAGUAUAAAUUAGGUUUAAUUAUUUAAAAC